AGAAUGAACGCUAGCGAUAUGCUUAACACAUGCAAGUUGAACGUUGUUUUCGAAUCAGAAUGAGAACAAAGUAGCGAACGGGUGCGUAACACGUGGGAAUCUGCCGAACAGUUUGGGCCAAAUCCCGAAUGAAUAAAAGCUAAAAAGCGCUGUUUGAUGAGCCCACGUAGUAUUAGGUAGUUGGUUAGGUAAAAGCUGACCAAGCCUACGAUGCUUAGCUGGUCUUUUCGGAUGAUCAGCCACACUGGGACUGAGACACGGCCCCAGACUCCUACGGGAGGCAGCAGUGGGGAAUCUUGGACAAUGGGCGAAAGCCUGAUCCGGCAAUAUGGCGUGAGUGAAGAAGGGCAACGCAGCUUGAAAGCUCUUUCAUCGAGUGUGCGAUUGUGACAAGACUCGAAUAAGAACGCCCCGGCUAACUCCGCGCCAGCAGCCGC
Molecule: ribosomal RNA, 437 nt
Filed under: uncultured bacterium
Lineage: Bacteria
Description: SSU rRNA
Rfam family: Bacterial small subunit ribosomal RNA
Source: RNAcentral